Molecule: ribosomal RNA, 1372 nt
Filed under: uncultured bacterium
Lineage: Bacteria
Description: bacterial SSU rRNA
Rfam family: Bacterial small subunit ribosomal RNA
Source: RNAcentral
GAUGAACGCUGGCGGCGUGCCUAAUACAUGCAAGUCGAGCGAACGGACGAGAAGCUUGCUUUUCUGAUGUUAGCGGCGGACGGGUGAGUAACACGUGGAUAACCUACCUAUAAGACUGGGAUAACUUCGGGAAACCGGAGCUAAUACCGGAUAAUAUUUUGAACCGCAUGGUUCAAAAGUGAAAGACGGUCUUGCUGUCACUUAUAGAUGGAUCCGCGCUGCAUUAGCUAGUUGGUAAGGUAACGGCUUACCAAGGCAACGAUGCAUAGCCGACCUGAGAGGGUGAUCGGCCACACUGGAACUGAGACACGGUCCAGACUCCUACGGGAGGCAGCAGUAGGGAAUCUUCCGCAAUGGGCGAAAGCCUGACGGAGCAACGCCGCGUGAGUGAUGAAGGUCUUCGGAUCGUAAAACUCUGUUAUUAGGGAAGAACAUAUGUGUAAGUAACUGUGCACAUCUUGACGGUACCUAAUCAGAAAGCCACGGCUAACUACGUGCCAGCAGCCGCGGUAAUACGUAGGUGGCAAGCGUUAUCCGGAAUUAUUGGGCGUAAAGCGCGCGUAGGCGGUUUUUUAAGUCUGAUGUGAAAGCCCACGGCUCAACCGUGGAGGGUCAUUGGAAACUGGAAAACUUGAGUGCAGAAGAGGAAAGUGGAAUUCCAUGUGUAGCGGUGAAAUGCGCAGAGAUGUGGAGGAACACCAGUGGCGAAGGCGACUUUCUGGUCUGUAACUGACGCUGAUGUGCGAAAGCGUGGGGAUCAAACAGGAUUAGAUACCCUGGUAGUCCACGCCGUAAACGAUGAGUGCUAAGUGUUAGGGGGUUUCCGCCCCUUAGUGCUGCAGCUAACGCAUUAAGCACUCCGCCUGGGGAGUACGACCGCAAGGUUGAAACUCAAAGGAAUUGACGGGGGCCCGCACAAGCGGUGGAGCAUGUGGUUUAAUUCGAAGCAACGCGAAGAACCUUACCAAAUCUUGACAUCCUUUGACAACUCUAGAGAUAGAGCCUUCCCCUUCGGGGGACAAAGUGACAGGUGGUGCAUGGUUGUCGUCAGCUCGUGUCGUGAGAUGUUGGGUUAAGUCCCGCAACGAGCGCAACCCUUAAGCUUAGUUGCCAUCAUUAAGUUGGGCACUCUAAGUUGACUGCCGGUGACAAACCGGGGGAAGGUGGGGAUGACGUCAAAUCAUCAUGCCCCUUAUGAUUUGGGCUACACACGUGCUACAAUGGACAAUACAAAGGGCAGCGAAACCGCGAGGUCAAGCAAAUCCCAUAAAGUUGUUCUCAGUUCGGAUUGUAGUCUGCAACUCGACUACAUGAAGCUGGAAUCGCUAGUAAUCGUAGAUCAGCAUGCUACGGUGAAUACGUUCCCGGGUCU